UUUUAAAGAUUUUUUUUUGCGGUUAAGAGGAGUCACGGCAACCCCGGAUUUUUUUGAUAUUCCUCCUUGCACUGCGGCAAAUUCCAUUUGGAAGAGUAACGGAACUAGUCCAAAUGACGCAGUGCCCGUUAUUCUUCCAAAUGGAAUAUUCCCGCAGUGCAAGGGUAUAAAAACCUGCUGGCAACACCAAAGUCGGCCAUUUCACAAUAUAAUUUUCUUUCAACAAGAUGCGAAGUGCGCAGAUACGGGAAUUAUAAAAGUGAUUUAUUUUGAUAUUUAAAAAAAGAAAAAACCCAAAUAAACACUCGAAAUAAGUCGAGUAACUGUGACAAGUGAAGAAGAAACUAAACAAACUAACCCCUUUAAAAAAAAAAGAAAAAAAUAGUCAAAUAGUGCGAUUUCACCAGCGAUUCUAGGAUAGAAUUGCACUCAGGAGAACGUAGUUAUUAACGUUACAUAUAACUACUGCUUCAGUUUCAGCCUUGGAGAGAUUUAUAGAUUCCGAGGAAACGUCGUAUCAUAUCUGGCGUGCCGCCGCAGCUACUACAUUUAGUACAAGGAAAAGGUGAAAGCAAUCAACCACCAUUGCAACCGUAGCACCGCAGCAACACCAAAAGAAUCAGUUGGACCAUUGACUAAGCAAUUGGGAGUCCCAGCAGCAACCCACAUCCCGUUGACAGCAACCGCAGGGCGGCAAAAACAGCGCAACAGUCCCGGAACUGUUAACACUGGAAUAGGCAGUCUGCGGACCGUCCCGUACGGUAUCCACGACGCGCCACAACAGCACUACUGUAACCAUACGGCGUAACCUCAAGCGCCACUUCGGGAGAAGAGCGCCAUAGUACCAGUGUGUGCGUACCAGCGGUGCGCUUUAAUGCCCAUCGGGCGCCCUAACACCAUCUAGCGCCACCUCGUCAGCGAGGCGCCUCAACGUCAUCAAGUGCCACCAGCGG
Long non-coding RNA from Rhagoletis pomonella (apple maggot), 953 nucleotides. RefSeq lists it as uncharacterized. The record is from RefSeq and is a predicted model, not a curated record. The transcript has 3 exons. Lineage: Eukaryota; Metazoa; Arthropoda; Insecta; Diptera; Tephritidae.